Molecule: transfer RNA, 75 nt
Filed under: Hypsibius exemplaris
Lineage: Eukaryota; Metazoa; Tardigrada; Eutardigrada; Parachela; Hypsibiidae
Description: tRNA-Tyr
Rfam family: tRNA
About the family: Transfer RNA (tRNA) molecules are approximately 80 nucleotides in length. Their secondary structure includes four short double-helical elements and three loops (D, anti-codon, and T loops). Further hydrogen bonds mediate the characteristic L-shaped molecular structure. tRNAs have two regions of fundamental functional importance: the anti-codon, which is responsible for specific mRNA codon recognition, and the 3' end, to which the tRNAs corresponding amino acid is attached (by aminoacyl-tRNA synthetases). tRNAs cope with the degeneracy of the genetic code in two manners: having more than one tRNA (with a specific anti-codon) for a particular amino acid; and 'wobble' base-pairing, i.e. permitting non-standard base-pairing at the 3rd anti-codon position.
Source: RNAcentral
CCGACGAUAGCUCAGUUGGUAGAGCGGGCGGCUGUAGUCACCGCCAGGUCCUGUGUUCAAUUCACAGUCGUCGGA